This 329-nucleotide unclassified non-coding RNA is filed under the name Taitaia aurea. RNAcentral's name for it is "partial contains 5.8S ribosomal RNA, internal transcribed spacer 2, and large subunit ribosomal RNA". The record is from RNAcentral. Lineage: Eukaryota; Fungi; Ascomycota; Lecanoromycetes; Ostropales; Graphidaceae.
CGCACAUUGCACCUUUUGGUAUUCCGAAAGGUAUGCUUGUUCGAGCGUCGUUUAAAUAAUAUCAAUUUAGUUUGUAAAAGAAUUAAAUAGAUGUAAUUGAGUUUCUUGCUAUCGACAGUUCUUGUAAUUGUCCAGGCAUACUCCAAAAUAAUUGAAGCGAUUUAGAAUUAAUAUAAAUUGAACGCAUUAAAGUCUUAAAAAAACUACGUCCAAAUAAUAUUAUUCAUGAAUUAGCCAAAACAAAUAUAGAAAAUUAGAUUUAUUUCUAAUUCUUUAUUACCUUUUUAAUUAUCGACCUCGAAUCAAGUAGGAUUACCCGCUGAACUUAA